Formica exsecta is the source of this 757-nucleotide long non-coding RNA. RefSeq lists it as uncharacterized. Lineage: Eukaryota; Metazoa; Arthropoda; Insecta; Hymenoptera; Formicidae. The record is from RefSeq and is a predicted model, not a curated record. The transcript is spliced from 4 exons.
UCGCGUCACGUAUUUUUUUUAUCAUAUCAAACGUAUGCUAACAGUCGGCGUGACGGGACGGGACGGGACGAGACGAGACGAGACGAGACGUGUGUCUCGGCGAACGAACGCGGUCGCGGCUCUGCGGCAAGGAAUUCGUUUUGCUGCUCGUGUGAAGUAGUCUCGUCUCAACCCCUCGCCGUAAGAACUACCCCGUGGCGAGGUGACGUCUGGCGGCGAAAUAAGGAACGAGGGAACGAACGAGUGGAGAAAAGGAAUUUUGUAUGACGUUAAGUCCGUAUGAAACCCACGUCGUUGCACUGGGUAUAGCGUCCGGAUUUUGCACAACAAUGCAACUGGGAUUUGCACUGCGAACGAGUUUUUACUGUCAUCAGUCAUCAGGCAAACGGUCGACGGGGGUGAGCACAGAGCAGAGCAGCCAGAGCCGUACUUUUAAGCACAAGAGUGGGGGUUCUGGAUCAAUGCCGAGGCCACGCCUCCUUCGUCUUACAUCUUGCACCCCGUACUACCCCCCAAGCAUCCUGGGCACCUUCCUUUCCUUUUGCUUUUCCACCCUCUUCCCUAUCUUCAUAUCCCGCGGAAAAUCCGCCCAGGGCAUGCAAAUAUAUCAAAGGAUUAAAAACUAUAUGAUGUAUGAAGACUUUGUACUAAUAAUGCAAUCGAUAGCGUAAUAAUCAAAAAGAUAUUAAAUAGCUGCAGCUCCUGUUGAAGAUUUAGAAAUAUAUCUUGAAAAAUAUAUUUAUAAAAAAUAAUAUUG